CGUGGAACCGACCAGUUCGAUUUGUGAAAUUUUGAGUGCCCAAAACUAAGCACUGUACUUCUACGACUUACCUUUGUCCUGCUGCUGCUACUACAGAAAUUGCAUUUGCUAUAGACUGCUAAUAACUGCCUGCUCUGCCGCGUCCGCCAUAGUUGACCUUGUGCCUGUUUAUCCAAAUUUUGAUUGUAAAUCCGCAGCGCCAGUUAUUGGUUCCGGAGAGGACGAAUGAUUACUCGUGGGUGCCUCCAGAAUUCUGCUUGAUAUCGCCACCUUGGGCUCGGAAAGGCCUACACGAAAGACCUUUGCAGCUUAUCGUAUGAACCCCUUUCUUUCAUCAAAUUUAUAUUCUCCGUAAACUCUUAAUUUCUUCCGUCUGGCACCCAAUAUUUCUUCUCGAUAUCUUCCACGUGCCGGCAAAAGUUAUUCCACAUCGACGGCGAAAUUUCUGUCAUUAUCUCCUUUGUUAAAUUUUCUAGUUCAGGC
Megalopta genalis is the source of this 483-nucleotide non-coding RNA. Lineage: Eukaryota; Metazoa; Arthropoda; Insecta; Hymenoptera; Halictidae. The record is from RefSeq and is a predicted model, not a curated record.